UUCUUUGGAGUUCUGAGUUCAAGUUGGAGGCUGGUGAAGAAUCUGCUUACUGGACCUAAGACCCUGGACUUGGAAACUUUACCUCAUUAAUUUGGCUUUAGUUUCACUAAAAGGACCCUGCUAGAAAAUCAGAACCCUGUUUCCUGACAACAUUCUCGAAUGUAUCACCACUCGAAGAAAAAAAAAUCGGCUCACAAAUCCAAGAGGACGGUUCAUUUCAAGCACAUUUCUCCUGAGGUAUACUGGGGUAUAUUUUUUACUUAUUGAUCACACUACCUCUGUGGGACUGACUCUCUUACCCUGCGACCGGCUUCAUUGUUUUGAAGAUUCAUCAGUACCCGGCCCUGUUCCUCCGAGCCCUUGACAAAGUUUUUCUCUCGCUCUCGAGCAUCCACAAACUCCUUGGCAAAGCGGUAGCCAUACUCCACAUUGUCCCCACAGCCACCCCACAGCCAGUCCCGGGGUAAAUCCUUGGGCCGGGUAGUCCUGCUACAGCCACACGUGGAAAGCUCGCCUUCCCGACAGGCUCUGCUAAUGGCGUUGACCACUCCCGCUGCACUCACGGCGUAGGUGAAAGCCGUCUCUCGACUACCUAAAGAGAGAAGAAAAAUGAACUUGCUUCACUAAACAGUAGGUCUUGCAUCCCAGGACAUGGCACCUCCUUUCCCUCCCCUGCAUCAUGAGAGGAAAAAGCAUAAAGGUUAAGAACUCAAAGAAAAGUCAACUAGAACCAAUUCUUAAUUAAGCUCCAUAUGAAACUCGCAUUUGGGUGAAGCGAUCCAAGAGCCAGCCUGGAGAUGGUCACAAGAUACCAAAGAAGAGGCUAGUUUGCAAUGCUGUUGUUAAGAGGAGUAAGGCUGGGUCUUGCCAGAUACAAAGAGAGGCAUUUUCGUGGAUGAAGAGUUCUCAGGAGAUUUCAUAGGACUGAUCUGUAGGAAGAUGAAGGAAUAGGUAGUUCCAUGACUAGAGAAGUAGGUCUAAAGGAAUGGUAAUGGAUCAAGAAACAUCAGAUCAUCUUUUUUACAUGCACAGCCCUUCACUCAUAUACCCCACUACAGAUCCAUUUUUUAUUUGAAAAAAUUUAUUGAAUUGAUUAAUUGAGAAUAUUUUCCAUGGUUCCAUGAUUCAUGGUCUUUCCACGAACUGGGUUUUUUCUAUGUGUCACUGCAGAUCUAUUUUUUUAAUUAUUGCUACAAUCCAACAAAAUGGUGAGAGAGUCAGAGGGAAAGUGAACUAGAACAAAGGAAGACUACCUGAGGGCAAGCAGACUGAAAAGGGAAAACAGCUAGAAAGGUCUCUCAAAUCUGCUCUGGGAUUUAAGGGAGUUUAAUUGCACUCUCUAAAUUUCAGUGGCCUGAGGCCAAGUCCUGGUUUCUCUAACCUCCAAGCACAAGUUAUCCCCACUGCAAACUAGAACAUUUUUGGACUACACCCAUAGUAACUGUACUAUCCAGUAUCUCCUUAGAAUGGCCCCAGUGAAUAACUAGACCACUUUCCAUGACCAUUUCCCAGUACAAUGAGUCACUUUAAAAUUUCAUAAAUGAAAUUGUGAUGCAAUUCUUAGCCAUCCUCCUCUACUAGCAUAGGUCACAAGGGAUCAGGACCUACAUAUAAUCCCCACUGCUUUAUUCCAAAUUUCUUAUGUAUGACUGACUACCUAAUAAAAGAUGGGAAGAGGUA
Long non-coding RNA from Monodelphis domestica (gray short-tailed opossum), 1680 nucleotides. RefSeq lists it as uncharacterized. Lineage: Eukaryota; Metazoa; Chordata; Mammalia; Didelphimorphia; Didelphidae. The record is from RefSeq and is a predicted model, not a curated record.